Molecule: non-coding RNA, 65 nt
Organism: Dipodomys ordii (Ord's kangaroo rat)
Lineage: Eukaryota; Metazoa; Chordata; Mammalia; Rodentia; Heteromyidae
Source: Rfam
GGUGGCUCAGUGGUAGAGCUCUUGCCUUGCAAGCUAGAGGCCCUGGGUUCGAUUCCUCAGCACCA